AGUGAACGCUGGCGGUAGGCCUAACACAUGCAAGUCGAACGGCAGCACAGUAAGAGCUUGCUCUUACGGGUGGCGAGUGGCGGACGGGUGAGGAAUACAUCGGAAUCUACUUUUUCGUGGGGGAUAACGUAGGGAAACUUACGCUAAUACCGCAUACGACCUACGGGUGAAAGCAGGGGAUCUUCGGACCUUGCGCGAUUGAAUGAGCCGAUGUCGGAUUAGCUAGUUGGCGGGGUAAAGGCCCACCAAGGCGACGAUCCGUAGCUGGUCUGAGAGGAUGAUCAGCGACACUGGAAGUGAGACAGGGUCCAGACGCCUACGGGAGGCAGCAGUGGGGAAUAUUGGACAAUGGGGGGAAGCGUGAUCCAGCGAUACCGCGUGGGUGAAGAAGGCCUUCGGGUUGUAAAGCCGUUUUGUUGGGAAAGAAAAGCAGCAGGUUAAUACCCCGCUGUUCUGACGGUACCGAAAGAAUAAGCACCGGCUAACUUCGUG
RNAcentral lists this ribosomal RNA (492 nucleotides) under uncultured bacterium. RNAcentral's name for it is "partial 16S ribosomal RNA". It matches the Rfam family "Bacterial small subunit ribosomal RNA", at positions 29 to 507 of the family's 1533-position model. The record is from RNAcentral.